This 112-nucleotide ribosomal RNA is filed under the name Bacteroidota bacterium. The record is from RNAcentral. Lineage: Bacteria; Pseudomonadati; Bacteroidota. RNAcentral also lists the same sequence under 1 other name.
UUAGGUGACUAUUGCGGCGGGGUUCCACCUCUUCCCAUUCCGAACAGAGAAGUUAAGACCGCCAGCGCCGAUGGUACUGCAAUUAUUGUGGGAGAGUAGGUCGUCGCCAUUC